GUCUACGGCCAUACCACGUUGAAAGCACCGGUUCUCGUCCGAUCACCGAAGUUAAGCAACGUCGGCCCCGUUAGUACUUGGAUGGGUGACCGCUUGGGAACACCGGGUGUGUAGACA
This 117-nucleotide ribosomal RNA is filed under the name Gigantopelta aegis. The record is from RNAcentral. Lineage: Eukaryota; Metazoa; Mollusca; Gastropoda; Neomphalida; Peltospiridae.